GCCAGAUCGUCUGCUAACCUCAGUUAUUUCACAGCCUCAUGUUCCUGUGUAUUUAUCAGUGUGCAUUACUUAGUCUCCUAGUCGGUACCUGGACUCGUCAUUCCAAACCCUGCCAUAGCCUUGCUUCUGGAUUCAGCUGCUGCUUAAUCCUUUUCAGACAAACUGCCAUUCUCACCUGCCUGCCUCCCUGCACACCUAUAUUGGACUCAGCACUCGCCUGGACCUCACCUCGCCUCCACCUCCAGCUAAUCCCCGCCUGCAAACACUGCCCUCACCAGCCCCACUCCAGUCUCAGCAGUUUUUGUUUUCGCAAAUCACUUGGAGCUUCUGGUCUUUGGUUCUGCGCCUGAGUCCAUUCCACGCCACGGGCCUCUGAGCCCUGACAACGGUCUAAACAUCUGGAAAGUCCUGGAGGAAGAGAAUGGCUGGACUCAUCUGGAUUCUGCUUUCUGCGUGCCUCCUGGGUUGUACCUCUCAAGGCCUUCUGUCGAACUGUUUCUCUUUCAGGCCAGAAAAACGUCACAGCUGAGUCUGGAAGGAACGUCACUUUGACAUGUCAAGCUCGAAAAAACAUCCAGACUGUGGAGUGGAGAAGAGCUGACCUGGGAUCAGAAUAUGUUUUUUUGUAUCGGGAUGAGAGGAAAACUUCAGUGCACCAGCAUCCAUGUUUUAAGGACCGGGUGGAUCUAAAGGACAAACAGAUGAAGGAUGGCGACGUGUCUCUGAUUCUGAACAAUGUGACGAUUAAUGACACUGGAAGAUACGAGUGUCGUGUCGUUGAGAAAGGAACAAUUGGUUUGAAGCUCAUCAGCAUCAUCACCCUGAGUGUUGUUCCUCCAGGAUCUGUUGGACUAAUCGUUGGUGUGGUAGUUGCUGCUGCUGCCCUCGUUGUUGCUGCUGUUGCUGGAUUUGUGAUCUACAGAAACCAGAAAAAGGCAAAAGAAGUUCGUCUCAAACCUCUUGUCAUUAAACAGUCUCCUGCUGUUCCCACUUGUUGUCAGUGAACAGACACAGCUGGAACUUCACAAUGAAACUGAUUUGUGAAAUGUCACCGACAGUUAUAGGUUUUUGUUUAACUGUUGACCUAGUGUGUGAGAGCAAAGAAAACAGAAUUUUGCUGUUUUAUCAUUUAUUAUCCAGUUAUUGCUUCAUCCAGAUCACACAAUAUAAUUCUGACUAUGAAUCACUUUGAAUAAUCUCAGCAUUAUUACAAUGUUCUGCUCUUUACACUGGAUGUCUUUGCUGCAGUGUUCAAAUAUUCAACUCGAACAAAAACUCAGUGCUUCUGUUUUAAUAGCUGCUCUGAAACUUGAACUUGAUACACUUGAAGCUUUGCUGUCACACAGCCUGACGGAGACAAUGUGGAAAUCGCUUCAGCUUGUUAACAGAUUAAAGUGAAAUUAAUUAACUUGACUGACUCAACCAUCACUCUUGGUUUGUGUUCAGCAGCAGAAAUGUGAAUUUCAGAGAUCAGAAGAUUAGAAUCAACAAUAAGAACUUUUAUACAUUUUAAUAAUGUAAUGUAAAAUUGAUCUCACCAGUGUUCACCAGCUUUGUUUUGAUACCGAGAUUGUUUACAUUCCUUUUGGGUUUGUCAUUUUCAAAGAGCAAGCUCAGACAGCCUCGUUGGGGCUUAACAGGAUAAACUUUAAUCACUGAACUUUUGGAAUAGGGGUUGGGGGGAAAUUCCAUUAAUUAUAUAUGUACCAUGUGUGUUUUGGCAGUGCCAGGAGCUCUGCCAUCUACAAGUACUGUAUUGUACACAGGUAUGAAUAGACUCACGAGCCACAAAAGAUUGAAGAUUAUUAAUUUAAGGAAAAUAUGAAUCUAAUGAGGACUUAUGAGCAACUGCUGUAGUCUGCUCCUGUGACGUGUCUCUUUCAUUGCUUGUUAUUUAGAAGAAAAAUUCUUACAUGUAAAACUCGUAAUCACAAUAAAAAAGCAGAAAUGUGAAAAUCAUCUUCAUCACUGCUGUUUCUGUUUUGGUUUCUUUCUGAAGAAGAAGGUAUUUGUGCAUUUUUGAACAUCAAACAUUCAUUUCAUUGUGACACAUCUUUACCCUGCUAUAAAAAAUCUGGUAUAUAAUCAGGCUUCAUGUCAGUCAUCCACAGAAUAAAGUCCUGAUGCAUU
Molecule: long non-coding RNA, 2130 nt
Organism: Astatotilapia calliptera (eastern happy)
Lineage: Eukaryota; Metazoa; Chordata; Actinopteri; Cichliformes; Cichlidae
Source: Ensembl